CAUUACCAUCCCAGUUAUGUAGUUUUUUUUAGGUGUCUCCGGUGCCAGCAGCAAACUCAUGAGGUUUUCCAGAUUUAGGAACAUGUCCGAGUCUAUCUUCAUGGCAUAGGAUGCUCGAGGACAGCGUGUGGCUAACCAGUCCAAGAUCACCAUGGUCUUUAUGGUCAGGUUUCUGUAUGUGUCCAAGAAGUCACUCUGUAUAAGAUCGUGGUAUUGCUGGCUUUCUAACCUCAACUGCUCUUGCUGGUCCACCCCCUGUGCAUCUCCUCCUAAUCCCAGAACAAACAAGACUGUGAUUUUUUUCCCUCGAACAACAGUCUCGUUACCCCACGUGAUCCGGAUGGCGCUACGAGCCGCCAGUUGUUGAGGAGCCACUGGCACCAUGAGGACUAAAAAUGGCUUCUGCUGCUCACAUAUAUUUGGCUCAUCUAGGAUGAAAUGGUACCUGCGUGGAUAUGCUUCGUGAGUGAAGAUGUUGGGCAACAUUCUUGAGCCACUGUUUGGAUGGGUGAGACAGAUGGGAGAUGUCAGACACUUUGAUGGAGAGAAGCCCAAUAAAGACCACGAAGAGCAGAAUGGUCUGAUACAAAAGGAGUCAGAACGUUCAGGAGUUCAAACCCCAAGACCACCAAGCUGCCACUGCUGGGCCCCUGAGCAAGGCCCUUAACCUGCAAGAUGUAAACACAAAUUUUACUUUUUCUUUCCUGCUUUUACAUUAGAGCUCGGUUAUCUCCUUACAACUCUCAGACAAGCUCACAGAAGAAAAAAAAAACAGAAUGGACUGAAGUACAACUCUCUGAGAUGAAACCUGUGAGAGAGGCAUCUCAUGAGAACACAGUACAGUUGGUUUGCUCACCCGUAGCCAUCGGCAGGCGAGCUGUUCCUCCGCUGGUUCUGGGGAAUCCCGUCUGUCCCGGCGCUGAGCAGUCAGUACAGAGCUGGGGGGGAGGAGGCUGCCCCCUGCCCCGAUCGGUAGGAAAAACUGGAAACCUACAGACUCUGAAUCCUGUGCGAGAGGCAGUAUGUGUAUGUGUGUGUGUGUGUUGAAACUCACCCUGGCCUGCGGGGGCGACAGAGGACCGCAGCUGGAAGAGGAGUGUUGAGGAGAGGGAGGAGACGAGGGACACGCACUGAG
Molecule: long non-coding RNA, 1135 nt
Organism: Tachysurus vachellii
Lineage: Eukaryota; Metazoa; Chordata; Actinopteri; Siluriformes; Bagridae
Exons: 6
Source: RefSeq, a predicted model, not a curated record